AGUGGAGCAGGUGAUCUGGAAGAAGGUGCUUAGAGGUGAUAAGAGACUCAUUCACUAGGACAUCUAAGUGACAUUAUGGCGUCUGGACUUCAUUUUCAGGGUAAAGAAAAGGUUGCCAAUAUCCUGACCCUGGAUUAGCAGUUAUGGCAGUAGAGAAAAGUGGACUAACUCUGACUCUGGCAGGUUUCCCAGGUGGAAGGAAGUAGCUGCACCAACACCAGGUGGCCCCCACUGCCCUGCUUUCAUUAAACAGCACAAGCUGUCUUUCUCUCCUGCACUCACAAGUCUGCCAACACCGCUGUCUGAAGGGAAUCUGCUUCCCGCAAAUGCUCACACUGCCACCCCUUCUGUUUUUCACUGCUGCAUGUUAGGGACUCCAAAAGAACAAGACUGUAAGGACAACAUCUAAAACAAGUGUCAAUCCCAAGAAAAUACCCUGGGAACUCCUCUAACUGUAAAAUUAAAGGAC
Molecule: long non-coding RNA, 469 nt
Filed under: Fukomys damarensis (Damara mole-rat)
Lineage: Eukaryota; Metazoa; Chordata; Mammalia; Rodentia; Bathyergidae
Description: lncRNA (ENSFDAG00000033360.1)
Source: RNAcentral